Molecule: non-coding RNA, 143 nt
Filed under: uncultured Erwinia sp.
Lineage: Bacteria; Pseudomonadati; Pseudomonadota; Gammaproteobacteria; Enterobacterales; Erwiniaceae
Description: FMN riboswitch (RFN element)
Rfam family: FMN riboswitch aptamer (RFN element)
About the family: The RFN element is a highly conserved domain that is found frequently in the 5'-untranslated regions of prokaryotic mRNAs that encode for flavin mononucleotide (FMN) biosynthesis and transport proteins. This element is a metabolite-dependent riboswitch that directly binds FMN in the absence of proteins. In Bacillus subtilis, the riboswitch most likely controls gene expression by causing premature transcription termination within the 5' untranslated region of the ribDEAHT operon and precluding access to the ribosome-binding site of ypaA mRNA.
Source: RNAcentral
UAUUCUCAGGGCGGGGCGAAAUUCCCCACCGGCGGUAAAUCAGCUACGGCUGAAAGCCCGCGAGCGCUUCGGGAGCACUUCCGAAGGUCAGCAGAUCCGGUGUAAUUCCGGGGCCGACGGUUACAGUCCGGAUGGGAGAGAGU